This 206-nucleotide ribosomal RNA is filed under the name uncultured bacterium. RNAcentral describes it as "partial 16S ribosomal RNA". It matches the Rfam family "Bacterial small subunit ribosomal RNA", at positions 568 to 774 of the family's 1533-position model. The record is from RNAcentral.
AGCGCAGGCGGGAAGGUAAGUCUAUCUUAAAAGUGCGGGGCUCAACCCCGUGAGGGGAUAGAAACUAUCAUUCUUGAGUGCAGGAGAGGAAAGCGGAAUUCCUAGUGUAGCGGUGAAAUGCGUAGAUAUUAGGAGGAACACCAGUGGCGAAGGCGGCUUUCUGGACUGUAACUGACGCUGAGGCUCGAAAGCCAGGGAAGCGAACG